GAUGAACGCUGGCGGCGUGCCUAAUACAUGCAAGUCGAGCGAACAGACGAGGAGCUUGCUCCUCUGACGUUAGCGGCGGACGGGUGAGUAACACGUGGAUAACCUACCUAUAAGACUGGGAUAACUUCGGGAAACCGGAGCUAAUACCGGAUAACAUGUUGAACCGCAUGGUUCAACAGUGAAAGACGGUCUUGCUGUCACUUAUAGAUGGAUCCGCGCCGCAUUAGCUAGUUGGUAAGGUAACGGCUUACCAAGGCAACGAUGCGUAGCCGACCUGAGAGGGUGAUCGGCCACACUGGAACUGAGACACGGUCCAGACUCCUACGGGAGGCAGCAGUAGGGAAUCUUCCGCAAUGGGCGAAAGCCUGACGGAGCAACGCCGCGUGAGUGAAGAAGGUCUUCGGAUCGUAAAACUCUGUUAUUAGGGAAGAACAAAUGUGUAAGUAACUAUGCACGUCUUGACGGUACCGAAACAGAAAGCCACGGCUAACUACGUG
Molecule: ribosomal RNA, 497 nt
Filed under: uncultured bacterium
Lineage: Bacteria
Description: partial 16S ribosomal RNA
Rfam family: Bacterial small subunit ribosomal RNA
Source: RNAcentral